GGCUGAAGGAGAAGCCUCAGGACAAGGCCAUACAUGUAUAGCACAGCAUACUAAUGUGGGGCUCUGGAGAAUCCUCCCACCAGCAGGCCAUACUAAACUGCAGGAGUCCUCAGACCAGAUGCUGGAGAAGCAGCAGUCCAGAAAUACCACUGGGUAAACCAAAAAUGUCCAGCUAAAACCUGCUAUCACUAGACAUAGGACCAGCCAAGGACAACACAGCAAGGCAAAAAACUUUUAGAGGAUAACUGAUCUACUGCAGUCAAGCACCAUAAGAAAAACUGUC
This 283-nucleotide long non-coding RNA is filed under the name Mustela putorius furo (domestic ferret). RNAcentral describes it as "lncRNA (ENSMPUG00000028138.1)". The record is from RNAcentral. Lineage: Eukaryota; Metazoa; Chordata; Mammalia; Carnivora; Mustelidae.